CCUACGGGUGGCAGCAGUGGGGAAUAUUGGGCAAUGGAGGAAACGCUGACCCAGCAAAGCCGCGUGAAUGAUGAAGGUUCUCGGAUUGUAAAGCUUCUUUUUUAGGGAAGAAGAAAGAUACGCUACCUUAUGAAUAAGUGUAGGCUAAGUACGAGCAACGACUCGCGCCAAUACGGAGGACGCGAGCGUUAGCCGGAUGGACUGGGCGUAAAGGGUGCGUAGGUGGUUUGAGAAGUUAGUAGGGAAACUCCGGGGUUCAACCUCGGCACUGCUUCCAAAACUGUCGGACUUGAGUGCAGGAGAGGCAAGUGGAAUUCCUAGUGUAGCGGUGGAAUGCAUAGAUAUUAGGAAGAACACCAGUGGCGAAGGCGAUUUACUGGACUGUAACUGACACUGAGGCACGAAAGCGUGGGGAGCAAACAGGAUUAGAUACCCGAGUAGUC
RNAcentral lists this ribosomal RNA (443 nucleotides) under uncultured bacterium. RNAcentral describes it as "partial 16S ribosomal RNA". It matches the Rfam family "Bacterial small subunit ribosomal RNA", at positions 338 to 795 of the family's 1533-position model. The record is from RNAcentral.